GUCUAUACUCGAUAAUCCACGUAUACUCAACCUUCUAUAGACAUUCAGCAUGUAUACUGCCGUUGUAAGCAUACCUUUAAAAGAACUAGUAUGCCGCCAUGGCCAAAACAAAGGCCCACACACAUCAGGUCAAAGUGCAGCUAAUAAGAAGGAGAUGAUGGGUUACAACCCCAAAAUAGACUAUCAACUAAGAAAUAAAAAAUCUUACGAAAGUGGACUUGACCGUAAUUAACUUACAAGUUAAAAAAAUGAAUUAAAUCUAAGACAUGCACACAUCGCCCGUCACUCUACCCUAAAGGAUAGAUAAGUCGUAACAAAGUAGGUGUAAUGGAAAUUGCACCUGUCGAAGUAUAGCAUAUAUAAUGCUUUUUACUUACACUAAAAAUAAAGUUAACACUUACUUCGCCCGAACUACUAAACCUUAUAAACCACAAAUAAUAUAAACAACUAAAUAAUCUAACAAUAAUAAAGUACAGAAAUGGAAAAAUAAACUAAUUAAAGUAAUUUUUAACAAAUAUACCUUGUGCAUUAUGGUUUUACAAGAAAAUUAUUAAACACAUAAAUCCCGAAUUCUAAAUGAGAUGUUAAAUUGCUGUUAUGAACCCACCAAUAACUGUAUAAAAAGUUUUAAAAGACAAUUUGACAGAGGCUACAUACCAUCCGCAUAAGAAUAUAGCUGGUUUUCAACAAACAUUAUACAUUAAAACAUAUAAUCCUAUUAUAGUGUAAUAUUAUUGAGGAUAAGCCCAAUAAUAAAAGCAAUUACUGCACAAAUCUAUCUAACUACAUAGGCCUAAAACCAGCCAACUAUAAUACUUUAUCGUAAUAAAUAUAGAUAUAAUUUAUACCACAUAAAAUGCAAAAAAAAGUUGAAAUAUUAGGAAAACUAAAUACCCCGUUCAUACUAUGUAAAAAUAAGUAUUACAAAAUAAUAAUAAUAACUAUCUAGAAAUAUAUAGCCUAAAAAAAUAUAAUAACUAACUAAGGAACUCGGCAAACACUUAUUUCGACUGUUUAACAAAAACAUUGUCUCAUGAAAUAUAAUAUGAGAUAAUACCUGCCCAGGA
This 1067-nucleotide ribosomal RNA is filed under the name Amynthas sp. FJ201108-01. RNAcentral's name for it is "partial 12S ribosomal RNA". The record is from RNAcentral. Lineage: Eukaryota; Metazoa; Annelida; Clitellata; Crassiclitellata; Megascolecidae.